RNAcentral lists this ribosomal RNA (1368 nucleotides) under Triticum aestivum (bread wheat). Its description in RNAcentral is "partial small subunit ribosomal RNA". The record is from RNAcentral. Lineage: Eukaryota; Viridiplantae; Streptophyta; Magnoliopsida; Poales; Poaceae.
AUGGUGGUCCGGCCCGUAGACGAACCCCGUAGAAAUUAUAAAUUGAUAACAAUCCUGCAGAUGUACCGAAGCUCCUCCCCACAGACGACAAACCCAAACCCGGCGACCACCAUGGCAUCAGCACCGCCACCGCAGCGCCGCCGCGCCUCGCCGCCGGCGAUCCCGGACGAGCUCGUCGAAGAGAUCCUCCUCCGCCUCCCGCCCGACGACCCGGCCUGCCUCCUCCGCGCCUCCCUCGUCUGCAAGGCCUGGGGCGGCAUCGUCUCCCACCCCGUCUUCCGCCGCCGCCUCCACGAGCUCUACCUCGCACCCCCCGUGCUCGGCUUCCUCCACGGGUGGGAAGACGAGGAGGUCCCACACUUCGUCCACACCACCGCGUCGCCCUUCUCCCUCGCCGCCCCGGACUGGCGCUCGUGGCGGGCGGUGGACUGCCGCCACGGCCGCGCCCUCUUCCUCUCCAAGCGCAAUCAUACUUGUACCUGGGAGCUGCUCCUUUGGGAGCCAAUCACGGGCGCCCAGCAGCGCAUACCGGUGCCCGCGGCGUUCAACGGCAGAUGGCCGACCGCGGCCGUGUUCUGCGCAGUGGACGGGUGCGACCACCACGACUGCCUUGGGGGUCCAUUCCGCGUGGUCUUCGUCUUCGUCGUCGACAACGAAGACGUUGACUACGACGACAAUGUCAUAUCGGCCGGCGUAUACUCGUCGGAGACCGGCACGUGGGGAGAGCUGACCUCGAUGUACAGCGAAUUCAUGAUGUUCUUUGAAAAGUAUUCCAGCCUGCUCGUUGGGAGGUCUCUGCUUUACUUCAUGUCCGAUGCUGGGUUGAUCCUGGAGUACGAUUUAGUGAGGCAUGGCCUGACCGUCUUCGACACACCUGACUGCCAGCCCGGCUACAAGUCCGACUGUGGGUCGUCGUCCUCGGACGACAACAGAUUUAAACUCAUGCUUGCGGAGGAUGGUGGGCUGGGAGUUAGUGAAGAAUCGGGUCUGCGCCUCAAACUGUGGACAAGGAAGGCGACCACUGAUGCACCAUGGGUAGUGAACUGCAUCUUCUGCUUGGAGAAUUUGCUUCCAGCUAGCGAUCUCUUGGUCCCGGGUAUAAAUUAUAGAGUGACCGUGCUGGGCUUUACUGAGGAAGCACAAGUCAUUUUCGUUGACACGAUUGAUAGCCUCUUCACAAUCGAUCUGCAAUUAGGGUUGGUGACGGAGGUCCCGGAUGAUCGUGGCUUCAGCAAUCUGAUUCCAGUUGUCGGCUUCUACACUCCCGUGCCCCGACGCAAGAACCAGAAUCUGCUGGCGUUGAAACCGUGUGAGGCGGCAAGUGGUGAGGGGGGAGAAAACAGUAGUUCAGACACAUCGGCUGUUUGA